GACGAACGCUGGCGGCGUGCUUAACACAUGCAAGUCGAACGGAAAGGCCCUGCUUUUGUGCGCUGCUCGAGUGGCGAACGGGUGAGUAACACGUGAGUAACCUGCCCUUCACUUUGGGAUAACUUCAGGAAACUGGGGCUAAUACCGGAUAGGAUCUCCCGCUGCAUGGUGGGGGUUGGAUAGUUUCGGCGGUUGGGGAUGGAAUCGCGGGUUAUCGGCUUGUUGGUUGGGUAGUGGCAUACCAAGGCUUUGACCGGUAGCCGACCUGCGAGGGUGACCAGCCACAUUAGAACUGAGAUAAGACCCAGACUCGUAUGGGAGGCAACGGAGGGGAGUAUUAUACAAUGGGCGGAAGCCUGAUGCAGCAACGCAGCGUGCGGGAAGACGUGCUGGGGGUAGUAAAGCGCAGCCGCUUGAGACGAAGCGUGAGUGACGGUAAUGGGUAAAUAAGCACCGGCUAACUACGUG
This 468-nucleotide ribosomal RNA is filed under the name uncultured bacterium. RNAcentral's name for it is "partial 16S ribosomal RNA". It matches the Rfam family "Bacterial small subunit ribosomal RNA", at positions 28 to 507 of the family's 1533-position model. The record is from RNAcentral.